CUAGUCGUGGUCACGACAGCAUGCGUCGAGGUCUUCAUGGCGCCACGGCUCUCCUUUCGCGUCUCCACCAAGUUGAGAGACGGUGCGACGGCGGUGAACCUGUCACCGGCCUUUAAGUCUAUAAGCUUUCACGCCAGCACGGUGACCAACCUCGCCCCGAGCAUCGACUUCUUUAGUUGCGCGAUGGCAGAUGCCUCACUCUCCCUGGGAAAUACCAUGAUGGCCACGAUCUACCCUGCCCUGCCCACCCGCAUGGUCGCCAUCACAGGAAUCACCUUCCCGUCCAGCCCGCGCUCGCUGACUGCCUCCCACGACCCGCUCCACAACUACCCGGCUCCUACUUCCAGGGAAAUGCAAUAUAUUUCAUAG
RNAcentral lists this ribosomal RNA (369 nucleotides) under Triticum aestivum (bread wheat). Its description in RNAcentral is "partial small subunit ribosomal RNA". The record is from RNAcentral. Lineage: Eukaryota; Viridiplantae; Streptophyta; Magnoliopsida; Poales; Poaceae.